UAACGCGAAGAACCUUACCAGGGCUUGACAUCCCUUGACGACCUAAGAGAUUAGGUGUUCUCGUUAUACGGGACAAGGAGACAGGUGGUGCAUGGUUGUCGUCAGCUCGUGUCGUGAGAUGUUGGGUUAAGUCCCGCAACGAGCGCAACCCUUAUAUUUAGUUGCCAGCAAGUAAAGUUGGGCACUCUAAAUAGACUGCCGGCAAAAAGUCGGAGGAAGGUGGGGAUGACGUCAAAUCAUCAUGCCCCUUAUGCCCUGGGCUACACACGUGCUACAAUGGUCUGUACAAAGGGAAGCGAAAGAGUGAUCUGGAGCGAAUCCCAGAAAGCAGAUCUCAGUUCGGAUUGCAGGCUGCAACUCGCCUGCAUGAAGGAGGAGUUGCUAGUAAUCGCGGAUCAGAAUGCCGCGGUGAAUACGUUCCCGGGUCUUGUACACACCGA
RNAcentral lists this ribosomal RNA (440 nucleotides) under uncultured soil bacterium. RNAcentral describes it as "bacterial SSU rRNA". It matches the Rfam family "Bacterial small subunit ribosomal RNA", at positions 957 to 1393 of the family's 1533-position model. The record is from RNAcentral.